CUAUAGGAAAUCCGUAAUGGUUUUAUAUUACUGUAAUUUGUUCUCAGGAGAUCUGAGAUCUUGUUUAAAAAAAAAAAAAGAGGAAGAAAAAGAUGCAAGAACUGUGGUUGUAUAAACAAUUACAGCUAACAUCCUAUAUAAAGCCAAACACAAAUGGUAAUCCUCCUGACCUUUAAGGCUUUCCCCAUCAUUUCUUGGGUGUAGAAAUUUUGAAAGCCUAACUAUACUACAGAAGUAGCCCUUAUAUCUGGAAAUUCUCCACGGUUUUGGGCAGAGUGUGAAUGAGAUGCUUCUGUGAGGAGCAGGGAGUUGGACUCCAUGAUUUUAUGGGUCCCCUCCAACUAGAGAUAUUCUGUGGUUUUAUGAUAUUAGGUGUGAAGAACUCUGAGGGCUUUCUUUCAAAAUAAUGCAGUGUCAUCUCAUCUCAGUGCUUGUAUUUAAGUCUUGCACCAACUAUUAUAAUAACACUUUUAAAAGUAGUCAUCUCCCACACGAGAGUGGAAAAGGAAGACAAAUACCAAGUGUGCUGGUUCCCUGCUACAGCCUAUGCAAAAGCAAACCUGGCCUGACAGGGGGGAGAGUGCUGAGCAUUCCUUGCUUUUCUGGGAAAAAUGAAUGUGCUACUGUCUGCUCCUUUUAGAAAACAAACCAUUCAGCUCAUAAAUCAGGAGCUGAAAUGUAUUUAGAGCAGUGGUAACCAAAUCAGUCCCCUGCCAUGAGGUCACUUUUUCAUGAGUCACCAUCGAGUCCCAGAGACGUCAUCCUGCUCUUCCCAACAGAAAAAUCUAACCCAGUGCAGUGUAAUUUGCAAGUCUUCUGAGCAGGAAGUCCUAAAGGACUUGGAGCAUGACUAGAGAGGAAUUAAUCUACAACUGAGAAGAUUUACUUCUACUCCAUAACUUUGAUUAAAAGACCAAAGCCUUUGUUCUACAAACUGAUUUAGUGCAACAAAGAAUGGAAUAUGUGCCGUGUGCUUAAUUUAAUCAUGAAAACAACUCUUUUAACCUCUGAAAGAGUAGGUAUGUGCUUAAAAUCAUGUGCCUGUUCACAUUUGCUGUUGUUCGUGGCUUGCAUAUGUAAUACUUACCUUAGUUCUCUUCAAAUGGCCAAACUGGUAAGAGCCUCAGUUCUAACAGUCACCAGUCUGGAGUUAUUCCUUGCACUCAGGCAUCUGCUCAGACUGCACAGCUCCUUAGCUCCUGCUGAAGUAAGAACACCAACAAUUGCAGCCUCGUUGUUCCUUGACAGAAACCCUUUGAAAAUCUUGUCAGAAGAACUCUUUGUGUCUUGACAAAAGCACAAUGUUCCCAUGCUCUUAACCCCAGGAUACUUUAAGAAGACUCUAGUCUUGUCCAAUUGCAGUAUUAUUGACAAGUGAAAGCUUUUUUGUGCUUUGUAAUGCCUUUAAAAGCAGCACAAACAAUAUUUGUCCAUAUAGUAUAAAACCUUUCCAACUGAUUCUUGCCAUUGCAUCUCUUUAGACUAGUAAAAUUUGUCUGGUGGAGAAUGGGAGAUUGUUUCUAUGUAAAUCCAGAGUUCUGUUUGAAGUUGGACACACAAAAUUGAAAUAGAAAGGGCCUAAAAAGUUUUUAAAAGCCUGGUCUGGGCUCGUCCAGGCUUCAGUUAUAAAACAGAACCAUACUUCUUAAGGGGAAAACUUUGAGCCCUGCAGCACUUGCUAACAGAAUGCUGGGGCUCUGUAUCAAUAUCAAGGGACAGAGAAAAACAGUCUAUGGAUAAUAAAGAGUUUCUUUUGUAGCAGCUGGGUUCUCUAUCCCAGCACAGCAUCAGCUGAAUCUGAUUUUCCUCUCUAUGUGAUAUCCUUAGCAACCAUUGUCUUAGAGUGAUCCCUGUAAGAAUAGACUAAAUGACUGAAUCAACCAUAGAGUUCACUUUCCUCACCAUCAGAAGAGGAAAAUACAGACAUUCACUGCCACAAGCACCAAUUUCCUGCACUCUUAAGUUACAGUUCAAGUGAGAAGUAGCUGAUAUAGCUUGGAACGUACUCAUUAGUAUCAAUGUUCAGACUGGAACAUUUCUAUGCCCCAUUUGUCCCAAAGAUUCUUUGGCUGCAAACUGUCUUUUCAUUUCCUUCUCAUUUCUUCCUUUUCACUUGAUAUCUUUUUUUCUUUUGUUCUUCUGUUACUUCUUCCUUUUAUUCUCUCUUCCACAUGCCUCCCUUUUUUUUUUUCACUAAAAACUAAACAACCUCACUCUCAGCUUCUUUCAGGCAAUUUGAGAUUGUUUUGUCCAGUACAAUCUCUGCCCUUCACGGUCUUUCUGGAAAUCCUAAAGUACCUCAAGCUCUUACUUCCUUAGACAGCUCCACAGAAUGUCUCUUCUUUCCCCUCUUGUUCUGCAAACCAGUGCAGGCCACAGUACUUGCCUUUGAUUUCCCCUAGAGCCUGUUUGGACACUGAAGAGCUUUAAUGGCAGUGAUGACUUGGAAAAAGUCCUUACUGUGGUCAGGUCAAUUAGGGCUUAUUUGUACACUUGGGCCCUGACAACUGUAUGGACAAACAUUGUUUGUGCUACCUGAAAAAACAUUAAAAAGCAGAAAAAAGCUUUCACUUGUCAAUAAUACUGCAAUUGGACAAGACUAGAGUCUUCUUAAAGCAUCCUGGGGUUAAGAGCAUGGGAACAUUGUGUUUUUGUCAAGACACAAAGAGUUCAUCUGACAAGAUUUUCAAAAGGUUUCUGUCAAGGAACAAUGAGGCUGCAAUUGUUGAUGUUAUUAUUUUAGUGUGAGCUAAGGAGUUCUGCAGGCUGAGAGCUGAGCAGAUGCCUGAAAAGGUGACAUUAAUAAUUUGUAACAUAAAUGUGGUAUUAAACUAGGUAACAUUAUGUAAGAAUUAAAUAUUUGCAAAAAUUAACUCCAUGGAAAAGAUGUCGAUUGUCUAAUGUUUGUCUGUACAUGCAGCAAAAUUAGAUGGUGUCAUAAAUUGUAAAAUAAAUUUAACAUCAGUUUUAUGAGAGUUUUAUGAGUGAGAGUAAUUCUAAGAAAAAAUGCUCUCAGAAGAAAGAAACAGCCAUUUCUUAUAGGCUCUGGUCCUACAGAUGUUCAAAUGACUAUUUAAAUAUCAUCUGGUAAUCUUUACUUGGUGAAAAAAUAUAGAAAUUCUUCCCAUAGUUUGUGGAGAAUUUUUAAAGAGACUUUGUCUUCAUAUUUCUUCCAUUUCUAUUUAAUAGAUGUAUUUCCCCAAUGCCCUUCUAAACUGACUUUCUAGACAGAUGAAAUGAAAUAUGUUUGGCUGUGGUAAUUGGAAAGGCAUAUAUCCAUGCAAGUCUGCCUGGGCUGAAGGUACCUGGUUUGUCUCUCUCCUUAGCACAUGCCUUGAGUCAAUCAUGCACUUUUUACUCUUUAUUUUAUUCAGUUUGUGUCAAAACAUAACAACAAAAAUGUAGAUAUCAGUGAGAACCCAGUUAGGAAAUUCUCAUUAUUCUGAGUCUUCUUCCUACAAGUACAUUAACUGACUUCCUGUAGUGUUAUCCACAAUGAAUAACUUGAAUUGGGGAAGAAACAAUUACUGAGAAUUUCUUUUUUCCCAGAAAGGUCAAACUGAAUUCAGCUGGAGAAAAAAAUUUAAAUUACUUAGACCAUGCUAACUUGCUGUUUUCUACAUUCUUAGAAUGGUGACUAUAGAUUCAACUGGUCCUAAUUUCCCUUCCCCAUAUUCUCUCUUUUGGAAUGUGAAAAGACAAAGACCCGUCCUAAUUCUCAACAGAGAUGUAAUUGGCAUGCUGGUAUUUUUGAAAGUCAUAAUUCAUCUUUCUUCUUCAGGAUGAUUUUUCUUACAAGUUCUGUAACAUGAGGUCUUAUUUCUUCCACAGAGACAGUAGAGUCCCAGGCCUUUACUACUUUCCCAUUGGGGUCCACUAGGUAUUUCCAAAAGUUCCAGGUUGGUUCUUCUCCUGUAGAAUCUACAGGCGAAAAAGUGAAAUAUUAGAAAAACACAUUAGGCAAUUCCUGACAUUUGUUCCUAUCAAUUUGAUGACUACCCUCUCAGAGGAAGGAGGAAUGUAAAAUAGGGAGUUCAGACUGAAUAAGAUUAAUUUUCUGACAGACAGGGAGUUUUAAUUAGACAGGAGCCCCCCGGAGACUAAUGGGAACAGGGAAGCUUCAGACAGACAGGAGAAAGCACUAGAAUGGGUGUUAAAGUGUGUGAGGGCAUGUGUGUGUCUGUGCCACCCAGAUAAACCUGAAACAGUGGACUUUGAUAGGAAAAUGGUAUUUGGCAUCACAGUGUAGCUGUACCAGGACUGAUCACUUCCUUACCCAGAAUUUUCCCUCCGAAAGCACCCAGUGUCCGGUGCUUCAGAAGAUUGUUUCAACAAAUGUUACAUGAAGUAACACAGUAAUUGUUCCAGGUUUCCUCCUACUCCUCAUCUACUUUUUCCCUCCCUGGCCACGUACUCAUUUUACACAAGUCGAAUUCUUAUCCUUCACUGUUCUGCAACGUGACUAAUAAAAUUUUCAGGAUUUUCAAUUAGCACAGGAACCUCAUCCCACUAAAAGCACAAGUACAGAUGCUACAGACAAAUUAGCAUCUUUUUUCCACUGAUUAUACAUUGAGCAAAACCUCAUGAGGAAUUAGAAGAUAUUUCAAAGUACCACCAAGACACAGCCAGACUACACUGUGCUGCUUAAAUGCUGCCUCCAGCAGCCUCCUGCUUCCUGUGGGACAACAGGGAAACACAAGUUUGGCAAGUUUCAUGUGAGAUGUCUGCAGGAACAACCCUGCUGGGGAAAACAGAAACGGAAGGACCUGAAGAAGAGUAAAGGGAAGUUUGCCUAGCAGAGAGAUCCAUCACAGACACCUGGAAGGAGGUGUGCUUGGGACAGUCACAAAUAUUAUCACUACUCAUUUAAAUUCAGUGGUAUGUGGGCAAACACUGCAGAGAAACAGCAGCAGGAGGGAGCUCAAGGAAUUCUGUGUCACACUGGGCUUUAUUUUAUUUCAUUGUUGGAAGACAUUUCCUUCACGUUGGGUUGACUGACAUUUUAAUUUAGCAUUUAAAUGGUAUUUAGAGCGUUUGUUCAGUGCAAGAAAAAUAGUGCCUUGAUAAAGAAUAUCCUGCCUUACAGUGUAUUUUGUCAGCUGGUGCUAAGGACCUGCAAAGCUCUUCAGGUCUCAGUGCUAUAAAGCAGACUGGAACUGGCAGAACUGGACAUGGCUAUUCCAACACUUGGGGAGGAAUGAGGAAGGGAGUAUUCAAGGACAUCCUUUAGUGCCCAGUUUCACUUUCUGAUUGCUGAAGUAAAUUAUGAGGUGCUUUGCUUCCACUUAUGCUACAUCUCUUGAGAUGAAUCUUAUAAAUCCAGCCUGCAGCACUCCUGUCACAGGAGGAGCACUUACAAGGCUGCAAAGUAGAAAACGGAAGGUCAGGUGUUGGAUGUAUACAGGGGAAUAUUUCAAAAUCUGUAUCCUAUGUAGAGGUCUAUUAGAUGAGCUUUUACAGGACAACUGUUAUUGAUGUGUCCUCACCUCUGGAGAUCUUUUUAGAAGGUAAGACAAAGCUGUCAGAGGUGACAGAGAGAAAUCCUGCCUUGUGCGAGAAGGGCUACGUGACUUCUGACCUCUUUGAGCCUGCCAACUCUGGGAACACAAUCAUAGGGAUCUUUUUUCUGUCAAAUGUUAUUUUGUAUCAGAGGAAUUCUACACUGAAGAAACAACCCUCCAGUGUUCCGGAUUACUCACCAAUUAAGUACUUGAAGGCAGGAAUUGCUCCAGCCCCGCUGACUGUGGUUUUGCUGAACAUGGGAAAGGAGGCACCGUAAGUCUUUCGCGCAAAACUCUCGAUUUCUCUGUUGGUGUCUGGUUCUUGCUGCCCAAACUGGUUGCAGGGGAAGGCCAGCACAUUGAAAUGGUAGGGGCCCAGGUCCCUCUGUAGCUGCUGUAAGGCCUUGUAGUGGCUGUCUGUGUACCCACACUCGCUUGCAACGUUGACAACCAGUGACACCUGAAAAGAGAUUGAAAAAUGUGCUGACAUGUCAGCUUUCCAGCAGGUAGGCUGGGAUGCAGAUUAUUUAAAAAAAGAAAGAAUGUCUAAAGAACUGUGACUGAAUACAUAUUUGAAACUACAUCGAGUUUUGUUAACAAUAGGAACAUUUAAUAUUUCUUUCAUGUAUUCCUACUUGGCAACGAUGAAAAUAAUCAAUAAACUUCUAAGCAAUCUUAGUUUUCAGAGAAUCUAUAUUUCUCCAUUCUGCCCUUUGGAUAGUUUCUAAGCAUAUUCAAGAAGUGCCCAUUCAGCUAUGAUAGACCAAGUUGCAUGAAAGAAACUUGCAAACCAAUGUAUUUUUUGUUUUUUAUUUAUCUGUUGUGAAACAUCUGCUCUGCAUCAUCUUUCCCUGUGCAGAAUUUAGUACCCAUACAGAACUGGCUGAUCCAUUUAUCAUUGCUAGUUAAAUGACCUGGAAGUUAAUAGAAGCAAUUACAGGAUUUUGGGUUGGUCUGUGCAGAAUGGGCUGCAAAAUCUUCCACCAUUUCUGGAGUAAAUCUACUCAGUUGAGACAAAAUGACAACAGUUUUUUUCACAAAAAUUUACUGCCUCAAUUAGAGAUUCCAAGAAGUGAAGACUGCCCACUAUCCUCUAAGAUCUUUCCUGUGGUGGAUCAUGUCCAACCUGUGCACAUGGUGUCAUUCAGAUAUUACCAACAGGCAGAUCCAGCUGGAGGAAGGUAUCACACACAGGUGAGCACCACAGGAAAAUAAAGGCACGUGUGGAACAGGUUCCACCAAGAAUUUGUUGGAGAAAAUAAGUGACCUCACCCUGAACUGACACAUAUUACAGUUUCUCAAAGCUUUGAGGAAUUUUCCAUUGGUUUUCGAGAUAUUUUAUCCUUAAAUAACUUUUGGGAUUUAUUAUUAGACAUAGUUCUUAUUACUCUCACAAAUUUUGUAAGUGUGAGUUGCUGCUCAUCCUACAUAAAUUGAGUCCAUUCUAAUACUUUCAUAUAGAAUAUAAAAGUAUUUAGGGAAAUGAGGUGUGUCAAAGAAAUUAUAGUAUACAAAAAAUAAAUAACUACAUGUAAAUAGGAGUUUUAAGGCCAGAAAACAAACUGGCUUAUAAAAGCCUUUAGCUGGGUAAGGUAUGGGAUCAUAAAAUGAAAGGCCUGGAAGGGGUAGGAAUGAGUAAAGAAAAAGGUAAUGGGAUGUUGGUGUUUAUAAUUUCUUACAUUAACACUUACUUUGUGUUUUCUACCUUGUGUAGGUAUAUUGCUAUAGAGAAUCAUAGAAUAUCCUGAGUUGGAAGGGACUCACAAGGUCCAGCUCCUGAAUUUAAAGUGGUUUUGGAAUGGCACUGUUCUCCCUGGAAGACAGAAGCUGGUCAUCACCUUUUUGGAAUCAACUAUUCCAUGUGGCCUAGCAGAGAUCAAGGAAUACCAUUCAUCAAUGCUGUUCCCUCUCCC
Long non-coding RNA from Pseudopipra pipra, 7414 nucleotides. RefSeq lists it as uncharacterized. The record is from RefSeq and is a predicted model, not a curated record. The transcript has 3 exons. Lineage: Eukaryota; Metazoa; Chordata; Aves; Passeriformes; Pipridae.